Unclassified non-coding RNA from Pongo abelii (Sumatran orangutan), 148 nucleotides. It matches the Rfam family "Metazoan signal recognition particle RNA". From Rfam's summary of the family: The signal recognition particle (SRP) is a universally conserved ribonucleoprotein. It is involved in the co-translational targeting of proteins to membranes. The record is from Ensembl. Lineage: Eukaryota; Metazoa; Chordata; Mammalia; Primates; Hominidae.
GCCGGGCACGGUGGUGUGCGCCUGUAAUCCCAGCUACUCGGGAGGCUGAGACAGGGGAAUUGCUUGAACCCGGGAGGCAGAGGUUGCAGUGAGCCAAGAUCAUGCCACUGUACUCCAGCCUGGGUGACAGAGCGAGACUCCGUCUCAA